Molecule: unclassified non-coding RNA, 299 nt
Filed under: Agrobacterium tumefaciens
Lineage: Bacteria; Pseudomonadati; Pseudomonadota; Alphaproteobacteria; Hyphomicrobiales; Rhizobiaceae
Description: partial ribonuclease P RNA
Rfam family: Bacterial RNase P class A
About the family: Ribonuclease P (RNase P) is a ubiquitous endoribonuclease, found in archaea, bacteria and eukarya as well as chloroplasts and mitochondria. Its best characterised activity is the generation of mature 5'-ends of tRNAs by cleaving the 5'-leader elements of precursor-tRNAs.
Source: RNAcentral
CGGAAAUACGGUGCCGGAUAACGUCCGGCGGGGGUGACCCCAGGGAAAGUGCCACAGAGAGCAAACCGCCAUGCAUCGCAUGGUAAGGGUGAAAGGGUGGGGUAAGAGCCCACCGCGCUUCUGGUAACAGCGGCGGCAAGGUAAACCCCACCGGGAGCAAGACCGAAUAGGGAUGACACGGGAUGGGCGAAAGCCCGUUCACAGCCGGUUUCCAGGCCCGUCAUCCGGGUGGGUUGCGCGAGGCGGCAUGCAAAUGCCGUCCCAGAUGAAUGGCUGCCACGUUCCGGGUCAAACCGGGG